RNAcentral lists this long non-coding RNA (1882 nucleotides) under Gossypium raimondii (Peruvian cotton). RNAcentral describes it as "long non-coding RNA (GRAI_LNC000959)". The record is from RNAcentral. Lineage: Eukaryota; Viridiplantae; Streptophyta; Magnoliopsida; Malvales; Malvaceae.
AGAAAUGAUAAAUACAAUGGAGGUCUUUUAAUUACCAUAAAAAAAAAGAUACAAGAAUAACACAUAUUUAUUAUAUUCACACACACGUAUAGAAGCUAUUAGGUGGAAAUCUUCCCCUGCUGAGGCGCCCACGGUGGCCUGUAAUGAGAAGUAUCAAUAUUCAAGCUUCAGGGUUUCACAAUAUUCAAUUUUCAAGUGAUGUAGAGCAGGCAUAGCUGCUUCUUCUACCUUCCACUCUUCCAAAUUCACAAGCUCUUUAAGGGUUAGAGAGUCCUUAAGUUAGGCAGCUUCUCUAGUAUUGGCACGGGAUCUCUUCCCCAAGCUUGAACCUUCUCAAACAUAUGUAAGCUGUACUUGAAGGGAAACGGUGAUACUCUGGUAACAAUUCCUCAUCUUCCCAUCUAAAAUCAACUCACACAAAUAAACGCAGCUUGAAAGGAGGCGCACUAAUAGUUUCGGAUCUAUUCCUCCUCCAUCAAUAGACAAGGACUGAAGAUAUUUGCUUGUGAUGAUCGACAGAUUCUUGUCUAAACCCUCCUUACAAUCUUCAAUAUGUAAGGACCCAAAUAUCUCCAACUUUCUAAGUUUUGUGAACUUGGAACGAUCUGCAAGAAAGCAGUUGUAUGUGUUGAACUUUCUAAGUUUUCAAUGUGUGCAGCUUCAACUUGGUCUUAUCGCUCAUCUUCUCUGGGAGAUAUAGCUGUUCCAAUUUCCAUAUCACAUCAGGUACACAACAAAAACCAGAAUAAGCUGGAUAUUUUAAAUCCAAGGUUUGCAGACACCUUAAAUUGCCUAGAGAUGAUGGAAUUUUUGGAAUAAUGAAAUCAAAAGCUCUUAGAUUCAAGAAUCUCUAGUGGAUGAGAUUACCUAUAGCAUUGGGCAACUUACAUCCUGCAACAUUUUCACAAGCUUCACAUUCCAGGACUCUAAGCAAUUUAAAAUUGUUGAACAAGUAUGUCCAACAUCCCUGCCUUUUCCAAAGUAGAAAAACACCCAAGACCACCAUAAGUAAACUGCAAUCGUCAUUAUCCUGAUGUUCUUCAUGUAUUUUAUCAUCUUUGAGUUUAGAAAUGCUUUAACUACUGCAUCUUUAGUGAAGGGGUUAUCAAAUAACAAUAUUGAUCUCAGACGGGAACUUUUAAUGCUUUGAAAAAGAAUGGAUUGAUGUGCAACAAUUCUGCGAACUGCGCGACCAAUGGAUGGAGAUCAUCUAUGAUGCAGACAAAAUUUUCUUUCUUUGCUACUGACAAACAAAGACCUCUCAUGAGAUCAUGCAUGCGGUAAGUUUUGAUCUUUAAGGUUGGCCCUCUUUCUCCAACUUGAACCAUGCACCUUUCCACAAGCUCAACUAAGCAACCUUCUGCAACCUUCUGCAACAUCCUCCAUCAUUUCCCCUCCAUUUCCUUCACCCCUCUGCUGAUGAAACAAGGCCUUCUGCAACCCACAAUUGAAUCAAUCUUUCUACAGGUAUUUCAUAAUCUUCAGGAAAAAUACUUAAAUAAAGGAAACAUGAUCUCAAAUAGGGGUGGCAAAUCAUCAUAACUUAAGGCUAACACAUCCUCGAUGCAUAGGCCUUUGCCUCUCUUCAAGUAUGUUUUAACAUUUUCGAACACCAUUUGCCAUUCUAAAAUGCCUCCCAACUGCGCAACGAUGAACCGUUACCUUCCCUAACUCUUCCAUUUUUGCAUCAACUUUGUUUUCUUUAAAAUAAGCAGUACUGUAAGAACACCAAAUUACUAUUCAUCACUAGCCACAAUGUACAUCUUUUCCAUUGCUUUGAAUGGAUAAAUAAAAAGAUCAUUGUAUGUAAUUUCUUACAAAGUAAGGUGUGCUCAACUAUUAUCCUAAUUAGACUCAACAAGUUAAUCAUUACGUCUAUUCU